GAUGAACGCUGGCGGCGUGCCUAAUACAUGCAAGUCGAGCGAACAGACGAGGAGCUUGCUCCUCUGACGUUAGCGGCGGACGGGUGAGUAACACGUGUAUAACCUACCUAUAAGACUGGGAUAACUUCGGGAAACCGGAGCUAAUACCGGAGAAUAUAUUGAACCGCAUGGUUCAAUAGUGAAAGACGGUUUUGCUGUCACGUAUAGAUGGAUCCGCGCCGCAUUAGCUAGUUGGUAAGGUAACGGCUUACCAAGGCAACGAUGCGUAGCCGACCUGAGAGGGUGAUCGGCCACACUGGAACUUAGACACGGUCCAGACUCCUACGGGACGCAGCAGUAGGGAAUCUUCCGCAAUGGGGGAAAGCCUGGCGGAGCAACGCCGAGUGAGUGAUGAAGGUCUUCGGAUCGUAAAGCUCUGUUAUUAGGGAAGAACAAAUGUGUAAGUAACUGUGCACGUCUUGACGGUACCUAAUCAGAAAGCCACGGCUAACUACGUG
RNAcentral lists this ribosomal RNA (497 nucleotides) under uncultured bacterium. RNAcentral's name for it is "partial 16S ribosomal RNA". It matches the Rfam family "Bacterial small subunit ribosomal RNA", at positions 28 to 507 of the family's 1533-position model. The record is from RNAcentral.